RNAcentral lists this ribosomal RNA (1019 nucleotides) under uncultured bacterium. RNAcentral describes it as "bacterial SSU rRNA". It matches the Rfam family "Bacterial small subunit ribosomal RNA", at positions 355 to 1375 of the family's 1533-position model. The record is from RNAcentral.
UGAGGAAUAUUGGUCAAUGGACGAGAGUCUGAACCAGCCAAGUAGCGUGAAGGAUGACUGCCCUAUGGGUUGUAAACUUCUUUUAUACGGGAAUAAAGUUAGCCACGUGUGGUUUUUUGUAUGUACCGUAUGAAUAAGGAUCGGCUAACUCCGUGCCAGCAGCCGCGGUAAUACGGAGGAUCCGAGCGUUAUCCGGAUUUAUUGGGUUUAAAGGGAGCGUAGAUGGGUUGUUAAGUCAGUUGUGAAAGUUUGCGGCUCAACCGUAAAAUUGCAGUUGAUACUGGCAGUCUUGAGUACAGUUGAGGUAGGCGGAAUUCGUGGUGUAGCGGUGAAAUGCUUAGAUAUCACGAAGAACUCCGAUUGCGAAGGCAGCUUACUAACCUGUAACUGACAUUGAUGCUCGAAAGUGUGGGUAUCAAACAGGAUUAGAUACCCUGGUAGUCCACACGGUAAACGAUGAAUACUCGCUGUAGGCGAUAUACAGUCUGCGGCCAAGCGAAAGCAUUAAGUAUUCCACCUGGGGAGUACGCCGGCAACGGUGAAACUCAAAGGAAUUGACGGGGGCCCGCACAAGCGGAGGAACAUGUGGUUUAAUUCGAUGAUACGCGAGGAACCUUACCCGGGCUUAAAUUGCAACCGAAUAUGGCGGAAACGCUAUAGCUAGCAAUAGCGGUUGUGAAGGUGCUGCAUGGUUGUCGUCAGCUCGUGCCGUGAGGUGUCGGCUUAAGUGCCAUAACGAGCGCAACCCUUGCCGAUAGUUACUAACAGGUUAUGCUGAGGACUCUGUCGGGACUGCCAUCGUAAGAUGUGAGGAAGGUGGGGAUGACGUCAAAUCAGCACGGCCCUUACGUCCGGGGCUACACACGUGUUACAAUGGGGGGUACAGAGGGCUGCUACCACGCAAGUGGAUGCCAAUCCCAAAAACCUCUCUCAGUUCGGAUUGAAGUCUGCAACCCGACUUCAUGAAGCUGGAUUCGCUAGUAAUCGCGCAUCAGCCACGGCGCGGUGAAUACGUUCCC